RNAcentral lists this ribosomal RNA (460 nucleotides) under uncultured bacterium. RNAcentral's name for it is "partial 16S ribosomal RNA". It matches the Rfam family "Bacterial small subunit ribosomal RNA", at positions 338 to 795 of the family's 1533-position model. The record is from RNAcentral.
CCUACGGGCGGCAGCAGUGAGGAAUAUUGGUCAAUGGACGAGAGUCUGAACCAGCCAAGUAGCGUGAAGGAUGACUGCCCUAUGGGUUGUAAACUUCUUUUAUAUGGGAAUAAAAUGUUACACGUGUGGGAUUUUGUAUGUACCAUAUGACUAAGGAUCGGCUAACUCCGUGCCAGCAGCCGCGGUAAUACGGAGGAUCCGAGCGUUAUCCGGAUUUAUUGGGUUUAAAGGGAGCGUAGGUGGAUUGUUAAGUCAGUUGUGAAAGUUUGCGGCUCAACCGGAAAAUUGCAGUUGAAGCUGGCAGUCUUGAGUACAGUAGAGGUGGGCGGAAUUCGUGGUGUAGCGGUGAAAUGCUUAGAUAUCACGAAGAACUCCGAUUGCGAAGGCAGUUCACUGGACUGCAACUGACACUGAGGCUCGAAAGUGUGGGUAUCAAACAGGAUUAGAUACCCGGGUAGUC